GAGGCGGGGCGUUGGUCCAGGGUUACGAGGCGCUUGCGGUUCCCUGGAGGUGCAGGACACUUGGUGGAGUGGUCCCCACGGGAGUUCGUCACCCACAGCCCCUCAGAGUGUCCUCCCCGGGCGGAGGCCGCGAUCUCGGCGGGAACUCGCGCAGCCGAAUAGGUCCAGGUCGGGCUGGGCCGGGUGCGAGCGAUAAGGGCGCGGCCGGCGCACUCUGGAGGACCUAGAUAGCGCGGCCCGCAGGGCCACCGAAGUUAUGAGCAUAUGGAUUUGCUUUCAGUCUGCACAGUACCGUGCCUGGCACAUGACAGGAGCUCAUUAAGUCUUUGUUGAAUAAACAUGGGAUUAAAUA
This is a non-coding RNA of Heterocephalus glaber (naked mole-rat), 352 nucleotides long. The record is from RefSeq and is a predicted model, not a curated record. NCBI's taxonomy places the organism in Eukaryota, Metazoa, Chordata, Mammalia, Rodentia, Bathyergidae.